ACAGGGAUUGCCUCAGUAACGGCGAGUGAAGCGGCAACAGCUCAAAUUUGAAAUCUGGCCCCAGGCCCGAGUUGUAAUUUGUAGAGGAUGCUUCUGGCAACGUGUCUUCCGAGUUCCCUGGAACGGGACGCCAUAGAGGGUGAGAGCCCCGUCCGGUCGUACACCUAGCCUCUGUGAAGCUCCUUCGACGAGUCGAGUAGUUUGGGAAUGCUGCUCUAAAUGGGAGGUAUACGUCUUCUAAAGCUAAAUACCGGCCAGAGACCGAUAGCGCACAAGUAGAGUGAUCGAAAGAUGAAAAGCACUUUGAAAAGAGGGUUAAAUAGUACGUGAAAUUGCUGAAAGGGAAGCGCUUAUGACCAGACUUGGGCUCGGUAGAUCACCCGGCGUUCUCGCCGGUGCACUCUGCCGGUCCAGGCCAGCAUCAGUUCGCCUCGGGGGAUAAAGGCUCUGGGAACGUAGCUCCUCCGGGAGUGUUAUAGCCCUAAGCACAAUACCCUGCGGCGGACUGAGGUACGCGUUCUGCAUGGAUGCUGGCGUAAUGGUCAUCAGUGACCCGUCUUGAAACACGGACCAAGGAGUCGUCUUCGUAUGCGAGUGUUCGGGUGUCAAACCCCUGCGCGAAAUGAAAGUGAACGUAGGAGAGAGCUUCGGCGCAUCUCCGACCGAUCCUGAUGUUCUCGGAUGGAUUUGAGUAAGAGCAUACGGGGCCGGACCCGAAAGAAGGUGAACUAUGCCUGUAUAGGGUGAAGCCAGAGGAAACUCUGGUGGAGGCUCGCAGCGGUUCUGACGUGCAAAUCGAUCGUCAAAUAUGGGCAUGGGGGCGAAAGACUAAUCGAACCU
Molecule: ribosomal RNA, 840 nt
Filed under: Verruciconidia persicina
Lineage: Eukaryota; Fungi; Ascomycota; Sordariomycetes; Hypocreales; Bionectriaceae
Description: Acremonium persicinum partial 28S ribosomal RNA
Rfam family: Eukaryotic large subunit ribosomal RNA
Source: RNAcentral